RNAcentral lists this non-coding RNA (922 nucleotides) under Boana punctata (polka-dot treefrog). Its description in RNAcentral is "partial 12S ribosomal RNA". It matches the Rfam family "Bacterial small subunit ribosomal RNA". Lineage: Eukaryota; Metazoa; Chordata; Amphibia; Anura; Hylidae. The record is from RNAcentral.
UGGUCCUAGCCUUGAAAUCAGUUCUUACCUUAUUUAUACAUGCAAGUUUCCGCACCCCUGUGAGAACGCCCUUAAGUUUCUGCUUGAAACAAGGAGCUGGUAUCAGGCACAAAUAUUAGCCCAAGACACCUAGUCACGCCACACCCACAAGGGAAUUCAGCAGUAAUCAAUAUUGUUUAUAAGCGAUAGCUUGAACCAGUAAUAGUAAAAAGGGCAGGCAAACCUGGUGCCAGCCGCCGCGGUUACACCAUGAGGCCCAAAUUGAUUUCUUUCGGCGUAAAGAGUGAUUUAAGCAAUUUCAAUUCUGUAGUCAAACUAUUAUUAAGUAGUAAUAAGCUUGUAUUUAGGAAGCUCAUAAACGAAAGUUAUUACAUCCACACCAACUUGAAUUCACUAAAGCUAAGUCACAAACUAGGAUUAGACACCCUACUAUGCUUAGCCACAAACUUUUAAUUACACCAAAAACGCCUGGGAACUACGAGCAAAGCUUAAAACCCAAAGGACUUGACGGUGCCCCAUAUCCCCCUAGAGGAGCCUGUCCUAUAAUCGAUAACCCCCGUUUUACCUCACCAUUUUUAGCCCUAUCAGUUUGUAUACCUCCGUCGUCAGCUUACCACAUGAGUGAACAACAGUAAGUAAAAUGUCCCCUCGUCUAUACGUCAGGUCAAGGUGCAACUUAUAAAGUGGAAAGAGAUGGGCUACACUCUCUAAUUUAGAUCAAACGAAAAACUACCUGAAAACUAGUUUAAAGGUGGAUUUAGCAGUAAAAAAGGACUAGAGUGCCUUAUUUAACCCGGCCCUGGAGUGUGUACACACCGCCCGUCACCCUCUUCGUAACUAUAAAUUAGUACAUAACAAAAUAAUGUUCCGUAGAAGAGGCAAGUCGUAACAUGGUAAGUAUACCGGAAGGUGUGCUUGGAAA